UACGUAGGGGGCGAGCGUUGUCCGGAUUCAUUGGGCGUAAAGCGCGCGUAGGCGGCCCCGCAAGUCGGCCGUGAAAUCUCCCAGCUCAACUGGGAGGGGUCGGGCGAGACUGCGGGGCUCGAGGUGGGUAGAGGGCAGUGGAAUUCCGGGUGUAGUGGUGGAAUGCGUAGAGAUCCGGAGGAACACCAGUGGCGAAGGCGGCUGCCUGGGCCUGGCCUGACGCUGAGGAGCGAAAGCGUGGGGAGCGAACAGG
This 253-nucleotide ribosomal RNA is filed under the name uncultured bacterium. Its description in RNAcentral is "partial 16S ribosomal RNA". It matches the Rfam family "Bacterial small subunit ribosomal RNA", at positions 524 to 776 of the family's 1533-position model. The record is from RNAcentral.